CAUCCAUCAGACAGCUUGCUGUCUGCACAGAGCCUUCGCUUUGCCCUGGCACAGCGUGGCUUCAUGGUUUGUCGUGCGGAGUUCACCGACGUCGACUCUUGGGAGAAAUCCUGGGUGGUUGUCUGUGGCCGUGCGUGCAUGGUGCAGGGACUGUAGUUCUCGUCCCGUAAGCACCUACCUUUCAAUUUU
RNAcentral lists this unclassified non-coding RNA (189 nucleotides) under Pareucalanus parki. RNAcentral describes it as "partial ITS2". Lineage: Eukaryota; Metazoa; Arthropoda; Copepoda; Calanoida; Eucalanidae. The record is from RNAcentral.